CCCGAAAACUAACAGGGAGCCGCUGAUAAUGCAAGUCGAGCGGUAGCACAAAGGAGCUUGCUCCUUGGGUGACGAGCGGCGGACGGGUGAGUAAUGUCUGGGAAACUGCCUGAUGGAGGGGGAUAACUACUGGAAACGGUAGCUAAUACCGCAUAACGUCGCAAGACCAAAGAGGGGGACCUUCGGGCCUCUUGCCAUCGGAUGUGCCCAGAUGGGAUUAGCUAGUAGGUGAGGUAAAGGCUCACCUAGGCGACGAUCCCUAGCUGGUCUGAGAGGAUGACCAGCCACACUGGAACUGAGACACGGUCCAGACUCCUACGGGAGGCAGCAGUGGGGAAUAUUGCACAAUGGGCGCAAGCCUGAUGCAGCCAUGCCGCGUGUGUGAAGAAGGCCUUCGGGUUGUAAAGCACUUUCAGCGGGGAGGAAGGGAGCAGACUUAAUACGUCUGUUCAUUGACGUUACCCGCAGAAGAAGCACCGGCUAACUCCGUGCCAGCAGCCGCGGUAAUACGGAGGGUGCAAGCGUUAAUCGGAAUGACUGGGCGUAAAGCGCACGCAGGCGGUCUGUUAAGUUGGAUGUGAAAUCCCCGGGCUUAACCUGGGAACUGCAUUCAAAACUGACAGGCUAGAGUCUCGUAGAGGGGGGUAGAAUUCCAGGUGUAGCGGUGAAAUGCGUAGAGAUCUGGAGGAAUACCGGUGGCGAAGGCGGCCCCCUGGACGAAGACUGACGCUCAGGUGCGAAAGCGUGGGGAGCAAACAGGAUUAGAUACCCUGGUAGUCCACGCUGUAAACGAUGUCGAUUUGGAGGUUGUGGUCUUGAACCGUGGCUUCCGGAGCUAACGCGUUAAAUCGACCGCCUGGGGAGUACGGCCGCAAGGUUAAAACUCAAAUGAAUUGACGGGGGCCCGCACAAGCGGUGGAGCAUGUGGUUUAAUUCGAUGCAACGCGAAGAACCUUACCUACUCUUGACAUCCAGAGAAGACUGCAGAAAUGCGGUUGUGCCUUCGGGAGCUCUGAAACAGGUGCUGCAUGGCUGUCCUCAGCUCUUGUUGUGAAAUGUUGGGUUAAGUCCCGCAACGAGCGCAACCCUUAUCCUUUGUUGCCAGCACUUCGGGUGGGAACUCAAGGGAGACUGCCGGUGAUAAACCGGAGGAAGGUGGGGAUGACGUCAAGUCAUCAUGGCCCUUACGAGUAGGGCUACACACGUGCUACAAUGGCGUAUACAAAGAGAAGCGACCUCGCGAGAGCAAGCGGACCUCAUAAAGUACGUCGUAGUCCGGAUUGGAGUCUGCAACUCGACUCCAUGAAGUCGGAAUCGCUAGUAAUCGUAGAUCAGAAUGCUACGGUGAAUACGUUCCCGGGCCUUGUACACACCGCCCGUCACACCAUGGGAGUGGGUUGCAAAAGAAGUAGGUAGCUUAACCUUCGGGGAGGGCGCCUUUUAGUUUUUUCUCCCUUCCCUUUU
Molecule: ribosomal RNA, 1464 nt
Filed under: Dickeya chrysanthemi
Lineage: Bacteria; Pseudomonadati; Pseudomonadota; Gammaproteobacteria; Enterobacterales; Pectobacteriaceae
Description: bacterial SSU rRNA
Rfam family: Bacterial small subunit ribosomal RNA
Source: RNAcentral